This is a long non-coding RNA of Dreissena polymorpha, 231 nucleotides long. RefSeq lists it as uncharacterized. Lineage: Eukaryota; Metazoa; Mollusca; Bivalvia; Myida; Dreissenidae. The transcript is spliced from 3 exons. The record is from RefSeq and is a predicted model, not a curated record.
UAAUCGAUGCAUAUCCCGACGAUAAAUACGGUGGAUCUGGUGGAUCCAGUGGUUCCGGGGGAUCGUAUGGGUCGGGUGGAUCCGGUUCAACGUGCACGUACAAGGGGCAGGUCUAUAAAGAUGGCGCUGUCUUCAAAGACGAUUGCAACACGUGCAUCUGCAUAUAUGGAAGUGCGACUUGCCAGGACAAAAAUUGCGGAGGAAAGGAUGACUAUCCUUAAGGUGGAUCCG